RNAcentral lists this ribosomal RNA (119 nucleotides) under Pteropus alecto (black flying fox). RNAcentral also lists the same sequence under 1 other name. Lineage: Eukaryota; Metazoa; Chordata; Mammalia; Chiroptera; Pteropodidae. The record is from RNAcentral.
UUCAACAACCAUGCCACCCUGAAUGUGCCCGAUUUCAUCUGAUCUCGGAAGCUAAGGAGGGUCAGGCCUGGUUAGUACUUGGAUGGGAGACCACCUAGGAAUACCAGGUGCUGUAGGCG